UCCUGCUGUGAGCCUGCGCCAGCGACUUCUCUCUACUCAAUCCUCAAGCCCUCUGGAGUGGUUCCAGCCUAGGCCCUACUUCUCCCUAGCUCCCACAUCACUCACUCGGGACAUCCCCGGACCCAGCUGGGAUCCUAGAACAGAGUGGUGGUGGGGCUCCAUCUACUGGCAUCAGGAGCAGCUAAGGUGGCCCUAAGAUUCCUCUCGCCCGGGGCCCCAUUAUUUGAUGUGCUACUCUCUGGAAAUCAAAACUCCAGAGCCUAGACUAGAUUGUAGAUUGCUCGAAGGACCGUGUGCUGCUGAAUUGACUGGACACAUUUGCAUUCGGACACACUCUUUAUCCAUGUCAUUGGCUGCUGCAAAAAGAUCCGAGCCCCAGAAGGCCCUGUUUCCUCAUUCUUGGGGGACUUAUGAGGGACUCUUUUCCACAUCCAGCUUCUAAAGAGUUUCUAUAACCCUAAUGAAGU
Long non-coding RNA from Microtus ochrogaster (prairie vole), 467 nucleotides. RefSeq lists it as uncharacterized. NCBI's taxonomy places the organism in Eukaryota, Metazoa, Chordata, Mammalia, Rodentia, Cricetidae. The transcript is spliced from 3 exons. The record is from RefSeq and is a predicted model, not a curated record.